This 705-nucleotide ribosomal RNA is filed under the name uncultured Staphylococcus sp. Its description in RNAcentral is "bacterial SSU rRNA". It matches the Rfam family "Bacterial small subunit ribosomal RNA", at positions 48 to 735 of the family's 1533-position model. The record is from RNAcentral. Lineage: Bacteria; Bacillati; Bacillota; Bacilli; Caryophanales; Staphylococcaceae.
CUAAUACAUGCAAGUCGAGCGAACAGACGAGGAGCUUGCUCCUCUGACGUUAGCGGCGGACGGGUGAGUAACACGUGGAUAACCUACCUAUAAGACUGGGAUAACUUCGGGAAACCGGAGCUAAUACCGGAUAAUAUAUUGAACCGCAUGGUUCAAUAGUGAAAGACGGUUUUGCUGUCACUUAUAGAUGGAUCCGCGCCGCAUUAGCUAGUUGGUAAGGUAACGGCUUACCAAGGCAACGAUGCGUAGCCGACCUGAGAGGGUGAUCGGCCACACUGGAACUGAGACACGGUCCAGACUCCUACGGGAGGCAGCAGUAGGGAAUCUUCCGCAAUGGGCGAAAGCCUGACGGAGCAACGCCGCGUGAGUGAUGAAGGUCUUCGGAUCGUAAAACUCUGUUAUUAGGGAAGAACAAAUGUGUAAGUAACUAUGCACGUCUUGACGGUACCUAAUCAGAAAGCCACGGCUAACUACGUGCCAGCAGCCGCGGUAAUACGUAGGUGGCAAGCGUUAUCCGGAAUUAUUGGGCGUAAAGCGCGCGUAGGCGGUUUUUUAAGUCUGAUGUGAAAGCCCACGGCUCAACCGUGGAGGGUCAUUGGAAACUGGAAAACUUGAGUGCAGAAGAGGAAAGUGGAAUUCCAUGUGUAGCGGUGAAAUGCGCAGAGAUAUGGAGGAACACCAGUGGCGAAGGCGACUUUCUGGUCU